This 700-nucleotide ribosomal RNA is filed under the name Prunella vulgaris (common self-heal). Its description in RNAcentral is "eukaryotic LSU rRNA". The stretch from base 304 to 459 matches the Rfam family "5.8S ribosomal RNA". Lineage: Eukaryota; Viridiplantae; Streptophyta; Magnoliopsida; Lamiales; Lamiaceae. The record is from RNAcentral.
AUCAUUUAGAGGAAGGAGAAGUCGUAACAAGGUUUCCGUAGGUGAACCUGCGGAAGGAUCAUUGUCGAAACCUGCAAAAGCAGACCGCGAACACGUGCUUAACUACACGGCGCGCGGCGCGGGGGACGCGAGUCUCCCCGUCGCGCGCUGAAUCCCCGCCGGCGCGCUCCAUCGGGUCGCGUCGUUCGGGCUAACGAACCCCGGCGCGGAAUGCGCCAAGGAAAACUUAACGAAGCGUCCGCAUCCCCGCAGCCCGUCCGCGGAACCUGCGGGGGGACCGGUCGUCUAUCAUAAUGUCAAAACGACUCUCGGCAACGGAUAUCUCGGCUCUCGCAUCGAUGAAGAACGUAGCGAAAUGCGAUACUUGGUGUGAAUUGCAGAAUCCCGUGAACCAUCGAGUCUUUGAACGCAAGUUGCGCCCGAAGCCUUUAGGCCGAGGGCACGUCUGCCUGGGCGUCACGCAUCGCGUCGCCCCACCUCACCGCGCACGAACGUGCCGGCGAGUGGGGCGGAUAUUGGCCCCCCGUGCGCCUCGGCGUGCGGUCGGCCCAAAUGCGAUCCCUCGGCGACUCGUGUCGCGACUAGUGGUGGUUGAACCUCAAUCUCUCAAUCGUCGUGCUCCCGCGUCGUCUGCAAGGGCAUCAAUGAACGACCCAACGGUGUCGGUGCCGCACGGCGCCCCACCUUCGACCGCGACCCC